Long non-coding RNA from Labrus mixtus (cuckoo wrasse), 1429 nucleotides. RefSeq lists it as uncharacterized. The record is from RefSeq and is a predicted model, not a curated record. Lineage: Eukaryota; Metazoa; Chordata; Actinopteri; Labriformes; Labridae. The transcript has 2 exons.
CAGGUGGCCAGGUGAGGACGGGACGGCGUGGCCUACGCCUUAGACAAGCAGAGAAAAACUCACAAGGACUGAGUUGUCAUCUGUUUCUUCAGAUUUCGAUCUCUUCAUCCAGUCCAGUUAAAUUUCAAUUAAAACAAAAACAUGUAUGUUGUAGAGCCUAGAUUGAUGGAAAAGAAAUGGUCUCCAUGACUUCAGAAACACAGUUUAAAACUAGUUAGACAGGACAAAGGGACGUGGCACACUCCUGCUGCCAUCACAUUGUGUGUGACAGUGAAAGUGGAAAUGAGGCUCCUGUUUGUGCUGAAUGUGACCUCUGAGGACAGAACAGUUGGAGACAGCAGAUGGUUCAUAGAUUCUUUGUGCUGCACUUUGAUUAGUCAGACUUUAUUCACUGCAUGUGUUUGUUGAUUUGGAUCUCCAUUCAUCCUGGCUGCCAUGGUAACUCCAUUUAAACUUGAUUAGAAGUGGAUUAUUACAUUUCAGUGCUGUCAAACAUCAUUCAGUGCUGAAUAUGAACUGUAAGUUUGAUUGACUCUCAGUAAGUAGGGGUGUAACGGUACACAAGCAUUUCAGUUCUGUACAGUUCUCAGUUUUGAAGCUUUGGUACAUUUUCACUACAGUAAAGUUUUUUUUCUUUAUUAGGAACAUUUAUAAUUUCCCUUUUACACAUUGGACUAAGUGCAGCAUCGACAGUUCAGACUUGUACACCUGCUCAGGUUACUUUUUAAUAACAUUUUAAAUUAAACAUAAAAUAAACUUAUGCUGCUUCCUUCAACCAAAAGAGUCUCCAAUAAAUAAAAGAUAUGAAUGAAAUAAAGUAUUUUAGAAUGAAAUGAAGUCAUUAAUAUAGCCUAUAUGUAAAAGUAUUUCUUUUAAAUUACACUGACACCUUUUAGUUUACUAAGCCAACAGUUUUUUGAAUGCCCUUUGAGCACAUAAUAAACCUAAUCACAUCUGGGACAGUGUAGUUUCAGAACUAUUAAUAUUUCCCUCUGUCGAUAUAAGAACUUCAAUGGCAUUUUUUAUGACUUUGGCCCGUUUAGAAUUACUAGCAAAAGGCUGUCUGUUUGUUCCUAGUUACAGUGAUGUUUACGUUUGCGUGGUGCCUUUUCAAGUGCUUUAAUAAGUUGGACGUGUUGCCUGUGACGUACCCGAUGUCCGCUGAACAACGACGGCACACUACUCUCGUCUUGUCAACGUCUCUUUCGCCUCAGAAAUGUUUUUUCCAUUGCAAUUCCACAAUUCAUACUCAUUCAAUAAAAAUAAAAGUAGGCAUAUACUGCGGUGUAUUCAUGGUCUUACCUUUACUUCCUCCUUACCUUCUUUUAGUUUUCCAUUAUUUAUCACUUCACGUUUUGAUUGAAAGUCCAGUUUUGAGAAAUCUUUAAGCUUAGAUAUAAAAUCUUCCUUUUCCAUUUUUGCAAUCAGA